This 338-nucleotide unclassified non-coding RNA is filed under the name soil metagenome. Its description in RNAcentral is "partial contains 5.8S ribosomal RNA, internal transcribed spacer 2, and large subunit ribosomal RNA". The stretch from base 1 to 120 matches the Rfam family "5.8S ribosomal RNA", at positions 35 to 154 of the family's 154-position model. The record is from RNAcentral.
GAUGAAGAACGCAGUGAAAUGCGAUACGUAGUGUGAAUUGCAGAAUUCAGUGAAUCAUCGAAUCUUUGAACGCACAUUGCACCUCUCGGUAUUCCGGGAGGUAUGCCUGUUCGAGCGUCAUUUGUACCCUCAAGCUCUGCUUGGUGUUGGGUGUUUGUUCCGCCUCUGUGUGUGAACUCGCCUCAAAACAAUUGGCAGCCGGCGUACUUGUUUCGGAGCGCAGCACAUUUUGCGAUCCAGAUCAACGUACAGCGGCAUCCAAGAAGCCUUAUUUAACGCUCUUGACCUCGGAUCAGGUAGGGAUACCCGCUGAACUUAAGCAUAUCAUAAGCGGAGGA